This 492-nucleotide ribosomal RNA is filed under the name uncultured bacterium. RNAcentral's name for it is "partial 16S ribosomal RNA". It matches the Rfam family "Bacterial small subunit ribosomal RNA", at positions 29 to 507 of the family's 1533-position model. The record is from RNAcentral.
AGUGAACGCUGGCGGUAGGCCUAACACAUGCAAGUCGAACGGCAGCACAGUAAGAGCUUGCUCUUACGGGUGGCGAGUGGCGGACGGGUGAGGAAUACAUCGGAAUCUACUUUUUCGUGGGGGAUAACGUAGGGAAACUGACGCUAAUACCGCAUACGACCUACGGGUGAAAGCAGGGGAUCUUCGGACUUUGCGCGAUUGAAUGAGCCGAUGUCGGAUUAGCUAGUUGGCGGGGUAAAGGCCCACCAAGGCGACGAUCCGUAGCUGGUCUGAGAGGAUGAUCAGCCACACUGGAACUGAGACACGGUCCAGACUCCUACGGGAGGCAGCAGUAGGGAAUAUUGGACAAUGGGCGAAAGCCUGAUCCAGCAAUGCCGCGUGGGUGAAGAAGGCCUUCGGGUUGUAAAGCUCUUUUGUUGGGAAAGAAAAGCAGCAGGUUAAUACCUCGCUGUUCUGACGGUACCCAAAGAAUAAGCCCCGGCUAACUUCGUG